AUUGAACGCUGGCGGCAUGCCUUACACAUGCAACUCGAACGGUAACAGGUCUUCGGAUGCUGACGAGUGGCGAACGGGUGAGUAAUACAUCGGAACGUGCCCAGACGUGGGGGAUAACGAGGCGAAAGCUUUGCUAAUACCGCAUACGAUCUAAGGAUGAAAGCAGGGGACCGCAAGGCCUUGCGCGUUUGGAGCGGCCGAUGGCAGAUUAGGUAGUUGGUGGGAUAAAAGCUUACCAAGCCGACGAUCUGUAGCUGGUCUGAGAGGACGACCAGCCACACUGGGACUGAGACACGGCCCAGACUCCUACGGGAGGCAGCAGUGGGGAAUUUUGGACAAUGGGCGAAAGCCUGAUCCAGCAAUGCCGCGUGCAGGAUGAAGGCCUUCGGGUUGUAAACUGCUUUUGUACGGAACGAAAAGGCUCUGGCUAAUACCUGGGGCACAUGACGGUACCGUAAGAAUAAGCACCGGCUAACUACGUG
This 482-nucleotide ribosomal RNA is filed under the name uncultured bacterium. RNAcentral describes it as "partial 16S ribosomal RNA". It matches the Rfam family "Bacterial small subunit ribosomal RNA", at positions 30 to 507 of the family's 1533-position model. The record is from RNAcentral.